UACGAAGGGGACUAGCGUUGUUCGGAAUCACUGGGCGUAAAGGGCGCGUAGGCGGCCUGGCAAGUGGAUGGUGAAAUCCCUCGGCUUAACCGAGGAACUGCCAUCCAGACUGCUUGGCUUGAGACCGGGAGAGGUGAGUGGAAUUCCCAGUGUAGCGGUGAAAUGCGUAGAUAUUGGGAGGAACACCAGUGGCGAAGGCGGCUCACUGGACCGGUACUGACGCUGAGGCGCGAAAGCGUGGGGAGCAAACGGG
Molecule: ribosomal RNA, 253 nt
Filed under: uncultured bacterium
Lineage: Bacteria
Description: partial 16S ribosomal RNA
Rfam family: Bacterial small subunit ribosomal RNA
Source: RNAcentral